UUAUAUGAAUAAGGAUACAACCUACAAUAACGGGUAAACUAGGGAACUAUUACUAAAGUUGGCCUGAAAGCAGCUACCUUUAAAAGGGCGUCAAAGCCUUAAUAUAUUAACCCUCAAUCUCAUAAUUUAUAAUGAACCCUCCCACACUACUGAACUAUUUUAUAAUUAUAUAAAAGAAAUAAUGCUAGAACUAGUAAUAAGAGGUAGCCCCUCUCCUAAAUGUUAGCUUACGCCAUAACGGACCUACCAAUGGCCAUUAACGCCUAUGAAAAUACUAUAGUAACUUUUCUAGAAAACCCUAUUAUUAAUUACGUUAAUCUUACACAAGAACAUUUCAGGAAAGAUUAAAAGAGUAAGAAGGAACUCGGCAAACAUAAACCCCGCCUGUUUACCAAAAACAUCGCCUCUUGAUUAACUAUAAGAGGUCCAGCCUGCCCAGUGACAUAGUUCAACGGCCGCGGUACCCUGACCGUGCGAAGGUAGCAUAAUCACUUGCUCUUUAAAUGGGGGCUAGUAUCAACGGCAUCACGAGGGUUCAACUGUCUCCUUUAUCUAAUCAAUGAACCUGAUCUCUUCGUGAAGAAGCGAGGAUAAAAAU
RNAcentral lists this ribosomal RNA (598 nucleotides) under Staurois latopalmatus (Sabah splash frog). RNAcentral's name for it is "partial 16S ribosomal RNA". The stretch from base 342 to 590 matches the Rfam family "Archaeal large subunit ribosomal RNA", at positions 1787 to 2143 of the family's 2987-position model. Lineage: Eukaryota; Metazoa; Chordata; Amphibia; Anura; Ranidae. The record is from RNAcentral.